UACGUAGGGUGCAAGCGUUGUCCGGAUUUACUGGGCGUAAAGGGCGCGCAGGCGGCCAUAUAAGUUACUUGUGAAAGCCCCCGGCUAAACCGGGGAGGGUCAAGUGAUACUGUAUGGCUAGAGAGCAGCAGAGGAUAGUGGAAUUCCCGGUGUAGUGGUGAAAUGCGUAGAGAUCGGGAGGAACACCAGUGGCGAAAGCGACUAUCUGGGCUGUAUCUGACGCUGAGGCGCGAAGGCUAGGGGAG
Molecule: ribosomal RNA, 245 nt
Filed under: uncultured bacterium
Lineage: Bacteria
Description: partial 16S ribosomal RNA
Rfam family: Bacterial small subunit ribosomal RNA
Source: RNAcentral